GAAAUGCGAUACAUAAUGUGAAUUGCAGAUCUCGUGAAUCAUUGAGUUUUUGAACGCACUUUGCACCGACUGUUUUUACAGGAGGUUUGUUUGUUUGAAAUGUUUG
RNAcentral lists this ribosomal RNA (106 nucleotides) under Entomophthora schizophorae. RNAcentral's name for it is "partial 5.8S ribosomal RNA". It matches the Rfam family "5.8S ribosomal RNA", at positions 50 to 154 of the family's 154-position model. Rfam says of the family: 5.8S ribosomal RNA (5.8S rRNA) is a component of the large subunit of the eukaryotic ribosome. It is transcribed by RNA polymerase I as part of the 45S precursor that also contains 18S and 28S rRNA. Lineage: Eukaryota; Fungi; Entomophthoromycota; Entomophthoromycetes; Entomophthorales; Entomophthoraceae. The record is from RNAcentral.